This is a long non-coding RNA of Lactuca sativa (garden lettuce), 1488 nucleotides long. RefSeq lists it as uncharacterized. The record is from RefSeq and is a predicted model, not a curated record. Lineage: Eukaryota; Viridiplantae; Streptophyta; Magnoliopsida; Asterales; Asteraceae.
GAAGGGUGCAAAAUAUCUUCCACAUUGACUAAUUGACCAUCUCCUCCUACAUCAAGAAACUUGGGUCAAGUCUCUUCACUUCAAGCUUACCAUAGGAGGACCUGGUUGUGAAUCCGUUGAUAACUUCAAAGCUAUCCUAAAACAAGAAGGAAUUUACCAUCUUUCAUCAAGAGACCACUUUUUAGAGGUUAUGUUAGGAUAUUGUGCUGUUGAAAGCUAAAGUUGCGGAACUUCUUUUGUCAAAUGUUAUGGUCAACCUUGCAAAGAGGAAGAAUUUGUACAUUGAUCUUUGCAAGCUGAUCUCAAAGGGGACAAAGUCCUACUAAAGGAGGGACAGAAGGGGAGGAGGUCGAGCAGGGGAAACAAUAGCAGGGAGCAGGACAACAAAGACAAACUGUGGUUUGGAGGUUUCAAUUUGUAAUUCAUCUUGAUUUAAUGCUAAUUUUAAAGUUGGCAGUUGUUAUUUUCCUGCUCAUAUUCUUUGCCUCAGUCAUCUGUCUGUUAGUUAUAUUUAUAUUUCUAUUUCUCCUUUAAUUAUUAUUAUUAUUAUUAUUAUUAUUAUUAUUAUUAUUAUUAUUAUUAUCUCAUCAGGCAUAUAAAGUUAAUGAUUACUGAUUAGGGCAAAUUUUUAAAUCCAUUGAAUUGGGAUUAGAGCUGGUAAUUAAAUAUCUGUUAAAAUCAAUUAAAAUUUUCUAAGCUUUUCAGUGAUGAUUGGGCUGAUGAGGUUAUUACUGAAUCAGAAUCUCCAGUACAAGGUAUUCGUUUUAAUGUUUUUUUUGGUAUUGUUAUAAAGAGAAAUAUUUACAUUUGCUUAUUCCAAACAUUAUUCCACUGUGUAGAUUCAUGUUAGCAUUAUUAGAUGUUUCCACUGUGUAGAUUUAAGUUUGGAUAUAUGUGAGAAUUUUAUAGUUUUAGAUUGAUAUAUAUGUUAUUCAAAGUUUAUACGGACAUUGAAGUAAUAUUUAAAGUUUUAAGGAUAUGAACUUUUUAUAAAUUUUUGGGUUAACUGUGAGAAAUAGCUAUAUACUUUCACUUGACCUUCCUGUAUACUUUGGUGAUGCUGGUAGUCGAUAGGUGAACCCCACGCAAUUUCUAUCACAACAGCAACAAAAAAUCAAAAACACAUUUGUAAGAAAUAGCAAUAUACUUUCAUUGAUUUUUUUUCAUUUUUAGGUUCUUCAUAAAAUUGGGGCAGAAAGGGCUUGUGUUGCUGCAUUUAUGUCUUUUCCACAGCAUGCCAACUAAUAUUGUUGAUGUUUUUCUCAGAUUCCAAAAGGGAGGGAAGUGGAUGACAAUGAUUCCUUCAUGUUUAAUGAUGUAUUUACUGCUCCUCUUUAUCGUAUAAAGGUGAAUGUUAUCCAAUUGAUGGAAAUUGUGGAAGAAAACGCAAGCAGAUCCCUUAAUAGCAAUGUAGUAUUAGGUUAUAUAGUUAUGGAAAACCUCUUAAUAACAAUGUACAACCAAAUCCCCUUAAUACCAAUAUAUUAG